UGCAAAUAUAGUUCGUAUACGUCUAGUCGCACGCAUACAAACACCGUGUUGAAGUCUGCUGAACUGAAACGACGUUAGACGAUGCAUGG
Molecule: long non-coding RNA, 89 nt
Organism: Aricia agestis (brown argus)
Lineage: Eukaryota; Metazoa; Arthropoda; Insecta; Lepidoptera; Lycaenidae
Exons: 3
Source: RefSeq, a predicted model, not a curated record